This 1317-nucleotide ribosomal RNA is filed under the name Triticum aestivum (bread wheat). Its description in RNAcentral is "partial small subunit ribosomal RNA". The record is from RNAcentral. Lineage: Eukaryota; Viridiplantae; Streptophyta; Magnoliopsida; Poales; Poaceae.
AUGUCGCUCAAGGGCUACCACGAAGCCUCACUGCAUCCGCCGGCCGCGUACGAUGCGGCGGCGGCGGCGGCGGCGACGGCGGCGGCCGAGUGGGACUGGGGGGAAGCCCUCCUCGAUAGAUCCGCCUACAUGGUCGACAAGAAAGACCACAAGAAAAACCAUACCUCCGCCUGCCAUCGAUUCCGGAGGAGCCUGCACGACUGGGAGGUGGAGGUGGAGGUGGAGGUGGAGAUGCAGGUCAGCCUGUUCAUGGCGCCGCCGCCUCGCGUCUCCUACUUCUGCUGCUCCGCCAGCUGCACCGACGACGGCGACGACCACGGGGAACAGGAAGGCGCCCCCCGCCUGUUCGUCCGCGAGCCUUGGAUGAUCGCCACGGAGGGUGACCUUGCCCUCUUCACUCUCUGCCACGGCCACAACCGUGCCUUCUACAGCGAAAGCAGCAACUACGACUACUUCCUCUACCAGGCAGCAGCCUCGCUGGCGGGGUCGCCGGAGCUCACCCGGCUCCCGCGACCCCAACCCGACAUGCUGCCAGCUUUCGGAAAUCGCUGCUUCCCUACCGGCAGUAUCGGUGUCGUGCGUUACCGCAGCAACAUCCCCGAGGAUGAUGAUGCCUACAGGAUCGCGGCGCUCGCCUACGACUACUUCGACCCCAGCCAUUCCGGAUACUACCUCUGCACCUACGACUCCAAGGAUCCUCGGUGGAGACGCACGCCCGCUGCCUCUCCACACCCACCACCGCCUGACGACUUUCUGUCCAGCAAGGUCAUCAUCACCAUCCGCCGCUCCGGCUCCUGCUCCGGCUCCGGCUCCCCCCGUGGCAUCAUGGGCUGGGUCGACCUCUGGAGUGGCAUGCUCCUCUGCGACGUGCUCGCUGCCACCGAUGACACCCUCUGCACCCCGCUCCCGCUCCACUAUCUCACCCUUCCAGAGCCGAGGCAGCUGCGAACUGAGCUCCCUCUUGCCACAGACAUUGGAUACCACUUUCGGGACAUCGCCCUAGCCAAUGACUCCGGCAUCAUCAGGUUCGUCGACCUUCAGGUCCACGCCGAACCCAGCCCGCGCUCACAAACUCCUAGUGGCUGGACGCUGGUCACGUGGACCUUGGAGGGGCUCAAUGGCGGUCUGGACGCCCUGUUUUUCCGGCAGGAGCACGAGAUCCAUUCCCGAGAUAUCUACGGCUACAACCUGCCCCGAGCAAUGCUAGACGUACAGGAAGUUACAGGGGGUUUACGGGGCUGUUGGGGUGUGAUUGGCAGAGAUCUAAUUAGAAGGGCAGGCCCACCAGUGAAAAUCAGGGGGGCGCCAGUUAGAUGA